Molecule: transfer RNA, 87 nt
Filed under: Caudoviricetes sp.
Lineage: Duplodnaviria; Heunggongvirae; Uroviricota; Caudoviricetes
Description: tRNA-Asn
Rfam family: tRNA
About the family: Transfer RNA (tRNA) molecules are approximately 80 nucleotides in length.
Source: RNAcentral
GUAUGGUUAGUCAAGUGGUCGACGACAGUAGACUGUUAAUCUACCGUGGCGAAAGCCCCAUCACAGGUUCGAAUCCUGUACCAUGCG